CAGCACCCAGGCCCUGAUUUCAAGCCCUAUGACAGACCAAAAAUAAAGCCAGAAGUGGAGGUAUAACUCUAGUGGUAGAAUCUCAGCUUUGUGCAAAAAAGUCAGGUGAGACUAUGAGGCCCUAAAUUCAAUCAAGUCCCAGUACUCACAUACACACAAACAACAAAAAAAUCUAUGAAUCCCCAGUAUUGUACUGACUCAGGAACUAAAGAUUCCCGUAUAUAUAUAUGCUCAACUUACAGGGUUUUUGUUUUCCUUUCUGGCAUUUCAAAAAUGCAAAUCCACCCACCCCCCCAAAAAAAAAAAAAUCUUUCCCUACAACAAACCUUUCCCUAAGCAACAAGUUUUAAAACAAAAAACCUCAUAAAAUAAGCUUUUAGAGCACACUCUAUUGAAACUUGGGUUAACUUUCCAAACUUCUGUUGAUUUUCACUAUGUGACUGCAACAGAUAUAAUUCAAUGUUUCAUAUAUCCUAAACUUGGCACAAAACUAAAGCCAGAGAUUUCCUUUUACUGAAGCAUCUACUUUCAAUCUCCUUUAGAGCACCUUAAGUUCCCUACCACCCCCCCACAUACACUACCCUCUUCCCUAUCCCUAUGUCUUUUAUAGGCAUGCUAUUUUAUCCUACUACUUGAGGUGACUAGCAUUAUCUUUGCUUGAAAAUUCUGUUUAUUAAUUUGCCCGUCAAACAUUCUAUAGAGCCGUUUACAUCUCACUACAGAAACCUCUUGGGUACAUAUUGACAGCUCAGCAAGUAUUUACACAAAGCUCUGAAACAUUUGGUUCCUUCAGAGAGGAAGAAGCUGCUGUGUCGAGUAGCGAAUUACCAAAUACCUUUCCUUCUCUUUUCCCUCUUUUAUGGAAGGAAGCUUCCCUCUAGCAUAACUCCCAUAUGUCUAAAUUACACUUCUAAACUACUAAGCCAGAAGGUGAAAGAAUGGAAAUUCAGGUGUGCCGGAGAAAAGAACGAACAGCAUUUUCAAGACCACAUGCACGCAAACCAUACCACAUAGCUUCUUAAACCAAAAGUAUGGGAAAAGAUACAUAUGCCUAUAGAAUUGAUCUUGGAGCAGUUAGCUUUUCCUGUUCUAGGCUCAGGAACUUUUGCUCUUCUCUUAGCAAAACUUAGAGGGCAGUCCAGGCACUCAGAUUUCAACCAACUGCCCAGGUACCCAGACCUGCCCAAACUACAGUAAGAGUCUCAAGAGUUAAAUGUCACCUCUCUCUAUACACUAACUAGAGUGUUAAUGUUCAAUUCUAUGUCUAUCUACUCCCUAUUCCACUCCCAAGUAUAAAGCCUCCCGGGCAUAUCUAGAAGCAACUAUUUUUCAAGUCUUGCCUUAAUGAAGUCUACUAAAUUUUUCAAUUACUGUUCAGUGUUUUAAAACCACCACCCAAUGGGGAUAUGGCCUAGUGCUGGUGGUUCACACCUAUAAUUCUAGCUACUCAAGAAGCUGAGAU
Molecule: long non-coding RNA, 1462 nt
Organism: Perognathus longimembris pacificus (Pacific pocket mouse)
Lineage: Eukaryota; Metazoa; Chordata; Mammalia; Rodentia; Heteromyidae
Exons: 3
Source: RefSeq, a predicted model, not a curated record